CUCGCCAUUUUCGAGCGCCAACAGAUCUCUGCCUUUCCCUCUCUUCUCCAUCGCCUUAUUAUGGCCACAGCCGACGCCGUCGCCGCUCUUCCUCCACCGAAGCUGCCUUCCGACGCCACCGUCGAAGCCUCAGGAGCUGCCCUUUAUCCGCAGGAGCUGCCGGGAUGUUGAAAUCCAGAUUGAGCGCUCCAAUGGCUACCUAUUGAGCCUUUAGUUGGCCAGAAGUUAAAGAAGAAAACAACAGUCUGCCGGAGGGAUUGACGGUGACGGAGCCCAACUCUGUCUUAUGCUCAAUAGGAUCAACCAGGAGAUUCUGAAUCUUCUGGAUGGUGAGGAAAUAGCCAGGAGCGUUUACUAUUUUCCACACAGUGAACUGAGGCCUGCUUGGGGCAUCAUCUUUUGUGGCAUGCAUUUUAGAUACUCUGGGUUUCACAGUAUAAAAAAUUGGGGUACCAGUUGUUCUUUCUCAGACAUUGCUCAGAAGAAGACAAAGCUUGCUCCACUGCAGGUCUUUUACACUCCCUCUAUGUCCUGUACAUAGGUACUCUCAUAUUUUAUAAUCUUACAAAUGCUUCUCUUGUAGGAGCGGAGAAUGAUAGACCGCUCAAGUGUUUAUAUGUAAAUGCUAAAGAUUUCCCUUGAGCCAAAAUGCUAUUUGAAAGUAUUUACUUGAUCACCUUGCUUGAUGCUCUGAAUUAUGAAUUAUGCAUUAUAAUAAUCUGCAAGUGAAUCUAUGAGAGGAAGAAAAUUAAAUUGUGAAAUUUUCAUCACUUACUUUAGUUACUUAAAUAUAUUGAUUUAUAUUUCUCUUUGUUUCACCUCUGACCUUGAAAACAGAGGCAAACGAGAACUGGAAUUGGACUUCAAGAGAUAUUGGGAAGAGUUCCACUCUUCAAGUUCGGAAAAGGCUUUUCUUAGUUUGCAUAAAGAGAAGUUUAAUUUUAUCAAUUCAUACACUGGACAACAUCAUAGUGUUCUUUCUUUGGGCAGGAAAAGGAAAAAGCCUUGAUUAUGACUAUGACUGUUGAUGCUUUCUGUAAAUUAGUGAAGAAUCAGGCAGAUGUAGCUCAAUUAAUUACCAAGUUAGUAGAAACACAUAUAUUUUUCUUUUGUUGUGGGAAGAGCAUUUGUAAUAGAUAUUGAAAAAUUGAAGCUUAGCAGCAAAACCAGAUCUUUGGAAGUUGAGAAAGUCUUGAGCUUUUUCUUUGAAAUCACAAAGGAUGGUAUUAACCUUGGUGCAAAUUUAUUAUAUGCAGUGGAGGUCCUUGUUUCUAUAUCUUCAACAGUUAAGUGAUUAUCCACUGCCUUUUUGGUUGGCACUUUUUGUUGAAGGUAUCCGCUUUACACAGGCAAAGCUUUUAGCUGCUCAAGAAUAUGCUACCUCAACAGGCUUACUUGUUCCAAGAAAUUUUUUAAUUCCUCGUAUUAAGGUUUUAGUACUUGGUCAGCCUGGAGAGGAGGUGAGCUUGCAGUUAAUACUAAGAGUUGUUGAGUUGUUGCUGAUGUUGGUCUGCUUGCAACAACUUGUUCUAUAUGCUUGGGUUUUGAAUGAUCGAAACAUAAAUGCGUAUCUGUCAGGUGUUUGAGAGCUUCUUGGGGGCACAUGCUUUAUAAUUGGGAGACGGUGCUGCUUAUGUGUUAUCUUCUUCUUUGCUUUGUUUAACCCCAUGCUGUUGUUCCUUUGUUAUAUUGCUUGCAUUGUGACUUUAGUUGUAUAUCAUUACUUAAUGGCCAAGAUUUUUAAUUACCAAAAAUGUUUUGCCUCCA
RNA transcript from Ipomoea triloba (trilobed morning glory), 1767 nucleotides. RefSeq lists it as uncharacterized. NCBI's taxonomy places the organism in Eukaryota, Viridiplantae, Streptophyta, Magnoliopsida, Solanales, Convolvulaceae. The record is from RefSeq and is a predicted model, not a curated record. The transcript has 7 exons.